Arachis ipaensis is the source of this 555-nucleotide non-coding RNA. Lineage: Eukaryota; Viridiplantae; Streptophyta; Magnoliopsida; Fabales; Fabaceae. The record is from RefSeq and is a predicted model, not a curated record.
CACAUUCGUUCGUUUCAUGUUCUCCCAGCACCUUUCUACUCUUUUUGCCUUUGGAAUGGAGUCAAAACCCCAACUAGCCUUCAUGACCAUCGCCGCCAUUUUGGUCCUCAUCGUAUGUGCGUUUAACCCCUCUCAAUUUUAUGCUUUGCCCAUAUUUCUCCGUUACACAGUGACUUUUUGAAAGGUUGCUAUUUUGCGUGUACAUAAACAACUACCAUGUCACUAGCAUCUACAACAUCAGGCACCUCCCACCACCACUAUGGGUUACGUGUUGCUAUAAAUUCAUCACUCAUAUGAAUACUCCAGCAUCGCUCCAGUGAGAGUUCAAGUAAAAACUCUUUACAGCUCCACAUAUAUUGGUUACAAAUGACAACCACGUACAACAACCUCAAGGAUAUUGAGGGAUCUUCAGACCACUUAAUAUUGAGGAUUAAAGCGAGGGUCAUGAAAAUAUGGUCAUUGUCUCCUACUGAGCAAAAAUACGUGAAUCCAACUUUAGAAUUGGUGGUCAUGGAUCACGUGGGUGAUCGAAUUCAGUGCACUAUCAGGAAUGCU